GGUGGGUUGUGCCGAAUUGGUAAGGCGCCGCUCUCGAAAAGCGGUGGCAGAAAUGCCUUGCAGGUUCGAGUCCUGCACCCACCGCCU
RNAcentral lists this transfer RNA (87 nucleotides) under Candidatus Nealsonbacteria bacterium CG10_big_fil_rev_8_21_14_0_10_36_23. RNAcentral describes it as "tRNA-Ser". It matches the Rfam family "tRNA". Rfam says of the family: Transfer RNA (tRNA) molecules are approximately 80 nucleotides in length. Their secondary structure includes four short double-helical elements and three loops (D, anti-codon, and T loops). Further hydrogen bonds mediate the characteristic L-shaped molecular structure. tRNAs have two regions of fundamental functional importance: the anti-codon, which is responsible for specific mRNA codon recognition, and the 3' end, to which the tRNAs corresponding amino acid is attached (by aminoacyl-tRNA synthetases). tRNAs cope with the degeneracy of the genetic code in two manners: having more than one tRNA (with a specific anti-codon) for a particular amino acid; and 'wobble' base-pairing, i.e. permitting non-standard base-pairing at the 3rd anti-codon position. Lineage: Bacteria; Candidatus Nealsoniibacteriota. The record is from RNAcentral. RNAcentral also lists the same sequence under 1 other name.